Molecule: ribosomal RNA, 363 nt
Filed under: Pseudechis papuanus
Lineage: Eukaryota; Metazoa; Chordata; Lepidosauria; Squamata; Elapidae
Description: partial 16S ribosomal RNA
Rfam family: Bacterial large subunit ribosomal RNA
Source: RNAcentral
CUAUUAAUUGUAGACCCGUAUGAAAGGCAUAAUGAGGGUUCAACUGUCUCUUUUAGUAAAUCAAUUAAACUGAUCUUCUAGUCAAAAAGCUAGAAUUAUAUCAUAAGACCAGAAGACCCUGUGAAGCUUUAACUAAACUGUUAAACCAUAUAACAACUACUUUCGGUUGGGGCGACCUUGGAAAAAAAAAGAACUUCCAAACUCAUAUUAUAUAAAAAUACUUAAUAGGCUAACAAGCACACAAAGACCCAGCUAAAGCUGACAACUGAACCAAGUUACUCCAGGGAUAACAGCGCUAUCUUCUUCAAGAGCCCAUAUCAAAAAGAAGGUUUACGACCUCGANGUUGGAUCMGGACAUCCCAA